GUCGAUGCAGCUGUAGUGACAAUCUCAGAGCAGCUUCUACACCACAGCCAUUUCCAGCAUGAAGAUCACUGGGGGUCUCCUUCUGCUCUGUACAGUGGUCUAUUUCUGUAGCAGCUCAGAAGCUGCUAGUCUGUCUCCAAAAAAAGUAAGUAUGUUGAAUAACAUUUUAAUGUCAGUAACUAUUGACUGUCAUUUAGUCAACAUAUAUGUAGGAUAAAUUAUGUUUAGGGGGAUUCGAGAGGGAGGCAAACACACAUGGAGAAAUGGUAUCUGUUCUCCAGAAGGCAACUGAAGAAAUAUGACAUACAUAUAAACAACCAUAUUUUAAAAAUGUUUUUUAAAAAUGCCAGAGUUAAAGAAGGGAGAACUGCCUUCCAGCUGAGAGGUUGGUGAUGUUUUCAUAAAAGGCAUAACGUGUAAAAGGCAGAGCAAAAGUACCCUGAUAAAUUGCACAGGCUCUGGAUUCAAAUCCUAACUCUACUACUUACCAGCAUUUAUCUUCAACAAGUUAUCUCUAUUUCUAAGCUUUAAUUUUCACAUUUGUAAAGAGAGGUAAUAGUAGAAUUUACUCUAGUUGUUCUGAAGAUUAAACAAGAAAAUUCAUGUAAGAUUUAAGUUUAACGCCUAGCCCAGAAAUGCCCAGCAAUUGUUAACUGAGUGUAGCAGAAAAAAACAGAAUACCAGUAGUGCUAGUAUUUGUCAUAGUGAUAACACUAGUACUUAAAAAAGUGGCCAAGCAACAUCUGAAUAUCUGAGCUGGGACUUCCAGCCCUUGUAGUAUAUCUAAUAGUGGCCUAGCUUGGGGUCUGGGAGGAAAACAGGACAUUUGCUUGUAUAUGACACAGGUGGAUUGCAGCAUUUACAAGAAGUAUCCAGUGGUGGCCAUUCCCUGCCCCAUCACAUACCUGCCAGUUUGUGGUUCUGACUACAUCACCUAUGGGAAUGAAUGUCACUUGUGUACCGAGAGCUUGUGAGUACCUCAUAAGAAGAAAAUGAGAUCUGGAGUCAGUGCUCUCUACUACAAACGCUUCUACUUUCCAGGAUCCAGCUUAAAUCUCUAUAAGCUGUAAUUUAUAAUUAUUCCCACCCAGAACAGCAGGUGGGGAUAGAAAACUGACUGUUGCACAAUCAGACAGGGUAGAGUCACCUGCUCUGCCAGCUUGGACUAGUCCCAUCCCAUCACAGAACCUCCAGUUCCUGUCUGUCAAUUGUGAGAAUCCAGUAA
This 1225-nucleotide small RNA is filed under the name Pan troglodytes (chimpanzee). RNAcentral describes it as "retained intron". Lineage: Eukaryota; Metazoa; Chordata; Mammalia; Primates; Hominidae. The record is from RNAcentral.